This 548-nucleotide ribosomal RNA is filed under the name uncultured Glomus. RNAcentral's name for it is "SSU rRNA". It matches the Rfam family "Eukaryotic small subunit ribosomal RNA", at positions 548 to 1098 of the family's 1831-position model. Lineage: Eukaryota; Fungi; Glomeromycota; Glomeromycetes; Glomerales; Glomeraceae. The record is from RNAcentral.
UUGGAGGGCAAGUCUGGUGCCGGCAGCCGCGGUAAUUCCAGCUCCAAUAGCGUAUAUUAAAGUUGUUGCAGUUAAAAAGCUCGUAGUUGAAUUUCGAGACCGGUUUAUUGGUCGUGCUUUUGUACGUACUGGUAUUAUUGGUUUCUCCUUUCUGACGAAUCUUAAUGCCAUUAAUUUGGUGUUUUGGGGAGUCAGGACUGUUACUUUGAAAAAAUUAGAGUGUUUAAAGCAGGCUCACGCUUGGAUACAUUAGCAUGGAAUAACGGAAUAGGACGUUUGAUUCUAUUUUGUUGGUUUCUAGGAUCGACGUAAUGAUUAAUAGGGAUAGUUGGGGGCAUUGGUAUUCAAUUGUCAGAGGUGAAAUUCUUGGAUUUAUUGAAGACUAACUACUGCGAAAGCAUUUGCCAAGGAUGUUUUCAUUAAUCAAGAACGAAAGUUAGGGGAUCGAAGACGAUCAGAUACCGUCGUAGUCUUAACCAUAAACUAUGCCGACUAGGGAUCGGAUGAUGUUAAUUUUUUAAUGACUCAUUCGGCGCCUUACGGGAAAC